Molecule: ribosomal RNA, 483 nt
Filed under: uncultured Coxiellaceae bacterium
Lineage: Bacteria; Pseudomonadati; Pseudomonadota; Gammaproteobacteria; Legionellales; Coxiellaceae
Description: bacterial SSU rRNA
Rfam family: Bacterial small subunit ribosomal RNA
Source: RNAcentral
AUUGAACGCUGGCGGCACGCUUAACACAUGCAAGUCGAACGGCAGCGCGGGUGCUUGCACCUGGCGGCGAGUGGCGGACGGGUGAGUAAUGCUUAGGGAUCUGCCCUAGAGUGGGGGACAACACGAGGAAACUCGUGCUAAUACCGCAUACGCUUUUAAAGUAAAGAUGGCCUCUGAAUAUGCUAUUGCUUUAGGAUGAACCUAAGUCGGAUUAGCUUGUUGGUGGGGUAAAAGCCUACCAAGGCGACGAUCCGUAGCUGGUCUGAGAGGAUGAUCAGCCACACUGGGACUGAGACACGGCCCAGACUCCUACGGGAGGCAGCAGUGGGGAAUAUUGGACAAUGGGGGCAACCCUGAUCCAGCGAUGCCGCGUGUGUGAAGAAGGCCUGCGGGUUGUAAAGCACUUUAGUUGGGGAGGAGAUUAAGUUUAUAAAUAAUGAACUUAUGAGACGUUACCCAAAGAAUAAGCACCGGCUAACUCUG